This 244-nucleotide ribosomal RNA is filed under the name uncultured bacterium. RNAcentral describes it as "partial 16S ribosomal RNA". It matches the Rfam family "Bacterial small subunit ribosomal RNA", at positions 8 to 244 of the family's 1533-position model. The record is from RNAcentral.
AGAGUUUAAUCAGGGCUCAGGAUAAACGCUGGCGGCGCACAUAAGACAUGCAAGUCGAACGAACUUAACCAUUAGUUUACUAUUGGAGCGGUUAGUGGCGGACUGGUGAGUAACACGUAAGCAACCUGCCUAUCAGAGGGGAACAACAGUUAGAAAUGACUGCUAAUACCGCAUAUGCCUUAGAAUCACAUGGUUCGAAAGGGAAAGGAGCAAUCCGCUGAUAGAUGGGCUUGCGUCUGAUUAG